RNAcentral lists this ribosomal RNA (407 nucleotides) under uncultured bacterium. Its description in RNAcentral is "partial 16S ribosomal RNA". It matches the Rfam family "Bacterial small subunit ribosomal RNA", at positions 30 to 526 of the family's 1533-position model. The record is from RNAcentral.
AUUGAACGCUAGCGGGAUGCCUUACACAUGCAAGUCGAACGGAGUGGCGGACGGGUGAGUAAUGCCUAGGAAUCUGCCUGGUAGUGGGGGAUAACGUCCGGAAACGGGCGCUAAUACCGCAUACUAUUGGAGCGGCCGAUAUCGGAUUAGCUAGUUGGUGGGGUAACGGCUCACCAAGGCGACGAUCCGUAGCUGGUUUGAGAGGACGACCAGCCACACUGGGACUGAGACACGGCCCAGACUCCUACGGGAGGCAGCAGUGGGGAAUUUUGGACAAUGGGGGAAACCCUGAUCCAGCCAUCCCGCGUGUGCGAUGAAGGCCUUCGGGUUGUAAAGCACUUUUGGCAGGAAAGCGGUACCUGCAGAAUAAGCACCGGCUAACUACGUGCCAGCAGCCGCGGUAAUUC